Molecule: ribosomal RNA, 724 nt
Filed under: Staphylococcus sp. V15-PCA-E14
Lineage: Bacteria; Bacillati; Bacillota; Bacilli; Caryophanales; Staphylococcaceae
Description: bacterial SSU rRNA
Rfam family: Bacterial small subunit ribosomal RNA
Source: RNAcentral
UGCAAGUCGAGCGAACAGAUAAGGAGCUUGCUCCUUUGACGUUAGCGGCGGACGGGUGAGUAACACGUGGAUAACCUACCUAUAAGACUGGGAUAACUUCGGGAAACCGGAGCUAAUACCGGAUAACAUAUUGAACCGCAUGGUUCAAUAGUGAAAGGCGGCUUUGCUGUCACUUAUAGAUGGAUCCGCGCCGUAUUAGCUAGUUGGUAAGGUAACGGCUUACCAAGGCAACGAUACGUAGCCGACCUGAGAGGGUGAUCGGCCACACUGGAACUGAGACACGGUCCAGACUCCUACGGGAGGCAGCAGUAGGGAAUCUUCCGCAAUGGGCGAAAGCCUGACGGAGCAACGCCGCGUGAGUGAUGAAGGUCUUCGGAUCGUAAAACUCUGUUAUCAGGGAAGAACAAAUGUGUAAGUAACUGUGCACAUCUUGACGGUACCUGAUCAGAAAGCCACGGCUAACUACGUGCCAGCAGCCGCGGUAAUACGUAGGUGGCAAGCGUUAUCCGGAAUUAUUGGGCGUAAAGCGCGCGUAGGCGGUUUUUUAAGUCUGAUGUGAAAGCCCACGGCUCAACCGUGGAGGGUCAUUGGAAACUGGAAAACUUGAGUGCAGAAGAGGAAAGUGGAAUUCCAUGUGUAGCGGUGAAAUGCGCAGAGAUAUGGAGGAACACCAGUGGCGAAGGCGACUUUCUGGUCUGUAACUGACGCUGAUGUGCGAAAGCGU